Molecule: unclassified non-coding RNA, 313 nt
Filed under: air metagenome
Description: partial contains small subunit ribosomal RNA, internal transcribed spacer 1, and 5.8S ribosomal RNA
Rfam family: Eukaryotic small subunit ribosomal RNA (bases 1-46)
Source: RNAcentral
AAGUCGUAACAAGGUUUCCGUAGGUGAACCUGCGGAAGGAUCAUUAUUGAAUGAACUUGGCUUGGUUGCUGCUGGCCUUUUCGAAGGUAUGUGCACACCUUGUCAUCUUUAUAUCUCCACCUGUGCACCUUUUGUAGACCUGGAUUCAACUUUCCGAGGUAACUCGGUCGUGAGGACUUGCUUAACAAGCUUUCCUUGUAAGUUUCCAGGCCUAUGUUUUCAUAUACACCAUAAGAAUGUAAUAGAAUGUUAUAUUAGACUUCAUUGUCUUAUAAACUAUAUACAACUUUCAGCAACGGAUCUCUUGGCUCUC